GGCUACGUAGCUCAGUUGGUUAGAGCACAUCACUCAUAAUGAUGGGGUCACAGGUUCGAAUCCCUCGUAGCCACCA
RNAcentral lists this transfer RNA (76 nucleotides) under Escherichia coli. Its description in RNAcentral is "tRNA-Met". It matches the Rfam family "tRNA". Rfam says of the family: Transfer RNA (tRNA) molecules are approximately 80 nucleotides in length. Their secondary structure includes four short double-helical elements and three loops (D, anti-codon, and T loops). The record is from RNAcentral. Lineage: Bacteria; Pseudomonadati; Pseudomonadota; Gammaproteobacteria; Enterobacterales; Enterobacteriaceae.